Molecule: long non-coding RNA, 126 nt
Organism: Amblyraja radiata (thorny skate)
Lineage: Eukaryota; Metazoa; Chordata; Chondrichthyes; Rajiformes; Rajidae
Exons: 3
Source: RefSeq, a predicted model, not a curated record
UGUCACGUAUACAUUAAGUAGUUCAGGGCUGCUCUCUAGUUGGUGAUAGGAUGGUUCCGUUGCCUGAUAACAGCUGGGAACAAACUGUCCCUUGAAUCUAGUGGUGUGUUUUCAUAUUUCUGUACC